AGUGAACGCUGGCGGUAGGCCUAACACAUGCAAGUCGAACGGCAGCACAGUAAGAGCUUGCUCUUACGGGUGGCGAGUGGCGGACGGGUGAGGAAUACAUCGGAAUCUACUUUUUCGUGGGGGAUAACGUAGGGAAACUUACGCUAAUACCGCAUACGACCUACGGGUGAAAGCAGGGGAUCUUCGGACCUUGCGCGAUUGAAUGAGCCGAUGUCGGAUUAGCUAGUUGGCGGGGUAAAGGCCCACCAAGGCGACGAUCCGUAGCUGGUCUGAGAGGAUGAGCAGACACACUGGCACUGAGACACGGUCCAGACUCCUACGGGAGGCAGCAGUGGGGAAUAUUGGACAAUGGGCGCAAGCCUGAUCCAGCCAUACCGCGUGGGUGAAGAAGGCCUUCGGGUUGUAAAGCCCUUUUGUUGGGAAAGAAAAGCAGCAGGUUAAUACCCCGCUGUUCUGACGGUACCCAAAGAAUAAGCACCGGCUAACUUCGUG
RNAcentral lists this ribosomal RNA (492 nucleotides) under uncultured bacterium. RNAcentral's name for it is "partial 16S ribosomal RNA". It matches the Rfam family "Bacterial small subunit ribosomal RNA", at positions 29 to 507 of the family's 1533-position model. The record is from RNAcentral.